Long non-coding RNA from Lotus japonicus, 402 nucleotides. RefSeq lists it as uncharacterized. The transcript has 2 exons. The record is from RefSeq and is a predicted model, not a curated record. NCBI's taxonomy places the organism in Eukaryota, Viridiplantae, Streptophyta, Magnoliopsida, Fabales, Fabaceae.
CACCACCGGCCACCACCACGCCGGCCGCCGCCGCCGCACCACCACGUGCCACUCUCCAGCCGUGCGCCCCUGCCUUUGGCUGUGCCUCUGCGGUUCUAAUUUCUACAGCUCAUACAAAUAAUCAUAUACAACUCCUGCCCGGGUCCUCGCACUGAGAUAGCCAUAGCCCAUAAGUCCAUAUGCUCUAUGAUCUUUUGCCUAACUUUGUGAACUGCAUCAGGUGAUCAGGGGAUGUGCACUUCUUCUCAUUACCUUAAAUGUUAAACGGAUAUAGUGUUGAUACAUUUUAAAUUUAUACUUUCAUUUCAAAUUUGUUUCAUUUACUGGAAUAAUUUUAGUGUUGCCUAUAUUGAAAAGAAUUGAGUUAGAACUGAAAAUACAUUGACUAUUUGAUUGUGUUGA